CAGUAGCCGCGGUAAUACGUAGGUGGCAAGCGUUGUCCGGAAUUAUUGGGCGUAAAGGGCUCGCAGGCGGUUUCUUAAGUCUGAUGUGAAAGCCCCCGGCUCAACCGGGGAGGGUCAUUGGGAACUGGGAAACUUGAGUGCAGAAGAGGAGAGUGGAAUUCCACGUGUAGCGGUGAAAUGCGUAGAGAUGUGGAGGAACACCAGUGGCGAAGGCGACUCUCUGGUCUGUAACUGACGCUGAGGAGCGAAAGCGUGGGGAGCGAACAGGAUUAGAUACCCCUGUAGUCCCUGUCUCUUAUAC
This 301-nucleotide ribosomal RNA is filed under the name uncultured bacterium. RNAcentral describes it as "partial 16S ribosomal RNA". It matches the Rfam family "Bacterial small subunit ribosomal RNA", at positions 509 to 807 of the family's 1533-position model. The record is from RNAcentral.